AGCAUGCUAAAAGAAAUGACUGAGUUAUCUUUCUCUUCUCUCUAUAAAAAUACUACGAAAUUUUAUAAAGAGGUAUUGAAAAGUCUAACAAAGGCGGGGGGCGAGUGUCACGGAGUGGCCUCCGGCAGUUAAGAACAGUGUGUCAUUUUCCGGAUCAUGUGAUGUUUGUAGCAUUUAUCAGCUUCCCUCAAUUUGUGAUUUCUUUUUUCAUUCUAAGUUCACCUUCAUCUCAAGUUUUGUAUUUGUAAUUUUGGAUUAUUUUUCUCAAAGGAGUCCUCAAGACAGUCCCCACCAAAGCUGGAUCUGCCUGGAUACAUAAUGUUUUGCCAUCAGUGACUCACCUUCAUGUCAGGGUCCCCGAGCUAAGGACAUUGCCCUGCCGCACAGCGCCUGUCCCACUCCCCCAUUCCUCACCCAACCGGCCUCUGGGGCAGUACCCUACUUCCGCCGCCCUUCACGUCCCAGCAUCACUCCAGGGUUCCUGCUGCCUGCCUCUCCUCAGGAGCCGCUGGGCCCCAAAGACGCGAGGUUCCAGAUCCCUGGAAACUGGAGGCAGAGGGAGAUGUGACACAGACAGAAGGGGAGGAGGCAAUAUGAGCACAGAGGCAGAAACUGGAGUGGCCACCAGAAGCUGGGAAAGGGGACUUGAAGCCCCCCUGUGAGAGGUCAUGAGCCCCCACUCGUGCCUCGGCAGCCCAGCAGCCAUGACAUCCUUGAAGUGGUGCCUCCAGUGGAGCCCUAAUGGGUGAGGGGCAAAGUCUCUCUCCCGUUAGUGCUUUCCUCUGCCCUGACUCCAGCCCUUUCCCAGGGACUCUCUUCUAUGGAGGCUGUGUGCUUCCGCAGUCACUUACCCCACCAAUAAAACAAAAAACUGUUAAAACCUGCUCCUCUAAGUUCUUACCUUCCUAGGGAAGAAUAAUUGUAUCUUCUCCUGCCUCAUUUUCCUACCUUGUCUUUCCCCAGAAGGGAAUGUUGAUUAUUUAUUCUGGAAGCCACUGGAAGAAAAGACUCCUAGUUUUUGAGUUAAGUAAGUCUCCAAGUAUCUACUGAAUGGCUCUGUGCAG
Molecule: long non-coding RNA, 1064 nt
Filed under: Equus caballus (horse)
Lineage: Eukaryota; Metazoa; Chordata; Mammalia; Perissodactyla; Equidae
Description: lncRNA (ENSECAG00000029419.3)
Source: RNAcentral